AUGCGCACGGAGUAGCACAGAAUUCCCCCAGGAGUAAUGGGUGCAUCACAGACAGUAAUAGUGCAAGAUUCCUACGCUGCCUGCCAGUGUGCUUCAACGCGGACGUGAAGGGACCACCUCUAGAGUCAAGAGAUUAAUUCGUUCUCCAUGGCUGAUUCAGUCAUUGGCGUCU
RNAcentral lists this small RNA (172 nucleotides) under Chelonoidis abingdonii (Abingdon island giant tortoise). RNAcentral describes it as "TUC338 (ENSCABG00000010956.1)". Lineage: Eukaryota; Metazoa; Chordata; Testudines; Testudinidae. The record is from RNAcentral.